UACGUAGGGGGCGAGCGUUGUCCGGAAUGACUGGGCGUAAAGGGCGUGUAGGCGGCGAACUAAGUUUGGAGUGAAAGUCCUGCUUUCAAGGUGGGAAUUGCUUUGGAAACUGGUUUGCUUGAGUGCGGAAGAGGUAAGUGGAAUUCCCAGUGUAGCGGUGAAAUGCGUAGAGAUUGGGAGGAACACCAGUGGCGAAGGCGACUUACUGGGCCGUAACUGACGCUGAGGCGCGAAAGCGUGGGGAGCGAACAGGAUUAGAUACCCUGGUAGUCCACGCGGUAAACGAUGAACGCUAGGUGUCGGGGGUCACAAGACCUUCGGUGCCGUCGCAAACGCAUUAAGUAUUCCACCUGGGGAGUACGUUCGCAAGAAUGAA
This 376-nucleotide ribosomal RNA is filed under the name uncultured bacterium. Its description in RNAcentral is "bacterial SSU rRNA". It matches the Rfam family "Bacterial small subunit ribosomal RNA", at positions 524 to 898 of the family's 1533-position model. The record is from RNAcentral.